Molecule: ribosomal RNA, 510 nt
Filed under: uncultured bacterium
Lineage: Bacteria
Description: partial 16S ribosomal RNA
Rfam family: Bacterial small subunit ribosomal RNA
Source: RNAcentral
GACGAACGCUGGCGGCGUGCUUAACACAUGCAAGUCGAACGAAGAGCGAUGGAAGCUUGCUUCUAUCAAUCUUAGUGGCGAACGGGUGAGUAACGCGUAAUCAACCUGCCCUUCAGAGGGGGACAACAGUUGGAAACGACUGCUAAUACCGCAUACGAUCCAAUCUCGGCAUCGGGACUGGAUGAAAGGUGGCCUCUAUUUAUAAGCUAUCACUGAAGGAGGGGAUUGCGUCUGAUUAGCUAGUUGGAGGGGUAACGGCCCACCAAGGCGAUGAUCAGUAGCCGGUCUGAGAGGAUGAACGGCCAAAUUGGGACUGAGACACGGCCCAGACUCCUACGGGAGGCAGCAGUGGGGAAUCUUCCGCAAUGGACGAAAGUCUGACGGAGCAACGCCGCGUGAGUGAUGACGGCCUUCGGGUUGUAAAGCUCUGUUAAUCGGGACGAAUGGUUCUUGUGCGAAUAGUGCGAGGAUUUGACGGUACCGGAAUAGAAAGCCACGGCUAACUACGUG